UACAGAGGGUGCGAGCGUUAAUCGGAAUUACUGGGCGUAAAGCGUGCGUAGACGGUUAUUUAAGUCGGGUGUGAAAGCCCCGGGCUCAACCUGGGAAUUGCAUUCGAGACUGAAUAGCUAGGGUACGGUAGAGGGAAGCGGAAUUUCCGGUGUAGCGGUGAAAUGCGUAGAUAUCUGGAGGAAUACCGGUGGCGAAGGCGGCAUCCUGGACCGGCAUUGACGCUGAUGAGCGAAAGCCAGGGGAGCAAACGGG
This 253-nucleotide ribosomal RNA is filed under the name uncultured bacterium. RNAcentral describes it as "partial 16S ribosomal RNA". It matches the Rfam family "Bacterial small subunit ribosomal RNA", at positions 524 to 776 of the family's 1533-position model. The record is from RNAcentral.